GAUGAACGCUGGCGGCGUGCCUAAUACAUGCAAGUCGAGCGAACAGACGAGGAGCUUGCUCCUCUGACGUUAGCGGCGGACGGGUGGGUAACACGUGGAUAACCUACCUAUAAGACUGGGAUAACUUCGGGAAACCGGAGCUAAUACCGGAUAAUAUAUUGAACCGCGUGGUUCAAUAGUGAAAGACGGUUUUGCUGUCACUUAUAGAUGGAUCCGCGCCGCAUUAGCUAGUUGGUAAGGUAACGGCUUACCAAGGCAACGAUGCGUAGCCGACCUGAGAGGCUGAUCGGCGACAUUGGAACUGAGCCGCGGUCCAGACUCCUACGGGAGGCAGCAGUAGGGAAUCGGCCGCAGUGGGCGAAAGCAUGACGGAGCAACGCCGCGUGAGUGAUGAAGGUCUUCGGAUCGUAAAACUCUGUUAUUAGGGAAGAACAAAUGUGUAAGUAACUAUGCACGUCUUGACGGUACCUAAUAAGAAAGCCACGGCUAACUACGUG
This 497-nucleotide ribosomal RNA is filed under the name uncultured bacterium. RNAcentral's name for it is "partial 16S ribosomal RNA". It matches the Rfam family "Bacterial small subunit ribosomal RNA", at positions 28 to 507 of the family's 1533-position model. The record is from RNAcentral.